AAUUUUCCCAAUAAUUUCCAAAGUAUACCCCAUGAUGUAUCAAUUUAGCUAAUUGUGAGCUACUUCGCUCUCGAGAUUUUGUCUUGAAGUGUGAGUCGUAUUGAACGAACUUUGUCGAAGCUGAUCUGAGGGAGAUUUGCAAUUUGAGUCGUUAUCGUAUCUAAUACUGGUUUUUAAUGAGAAAGUGUUUACAAAAUGAAACCCAUUUAGUAAAAGUGGCAAAUUAUCUACUAUUUCUUCAUCUUUUCAAAGUUAAAUAAUAAAAGUUUC
Caenorhabditis elegans is the source of this 270-nucleotide non-coding RNA. NCBI's taxonomy places the organism in Eukaryota, Metazoa, Nematoda, Chromadorea, Rhabditida, Rhabditidae. The record is from Ensembl.